AGAGUUUGAUCCUGGCUCAGAGCGAACGCUGGCGGCAGGCUUAACACAUGCAAGUCGAGCGGGCGUAGCAAUACGUCAGCGGCAGACGGGUGAGUAACACGUGGGAACGUACCUUUUGGUUCGGAACAACACAGGGAAACUUGUGCUAAUACCGGAUAAGCCCUUACGGGGAAAGAUUUAUCGCCGAAAGAUCGGCCCGCGUCUGAUUAGCUAGUUGGUGGGGUAAUGGCCCACCAAGGCGACGAUCAGUAGCUGGUCUGAGAGGAUGAUCAGCCACAUUGGGACUGAGACACGGCCCAAACUCCUACGGGAGGCAGCAGUGGGGAAUAUUGGACAAUGGGCGCAAGCCUGAUCCAGCCAUGCCGCGUGAGUGAUGAAGGCCCUAGGGUUGUAAAGCUCUUUUGUGCGGGAAGAUAAUG
This 419-nucleotide ribosomal RNA is filed under the name uncultured Bradyrhizobiaceae bacterium. RNAcentral describes it as "bacterial SSU rRNA". It matches the Rfam family "Bacterial small subunit ribosomal RNA", at positions 8 to 453 of the family's 1533-position model. Lineage: Bacteria; Pseudomonadati; Pseudomonadota; Alphaproteobacteria; Hyphomicrobiales; Nitrobacteraceae. The record is from RNAcentral.